Long non-coding RNA from Panicum virgatum (switchgrass), 2114 nucleotides. RefSeq lists it as uncharacterized. The record is from RefSeq and is a predicted model, not a curated record. Lineage: Eukaryota; Viridiplantae; Streptophyta; Magnoliopsida; Poales; Poaceae. The transcript is spliced from 2 exons.
UUUGUUUAUGGAUACUCUCACAGAAUACUACUAUAUCUCAGCUUUCAACCUUUUCUCUUUAUUAUGUUGCCUUGUUAUGCAUGGUAUUCUGUCAUGUAGCUUGCUAACAACUAAAUUCUAUAUGCCUGAAUAUACUUUUUGUUACGAAUGGAAGAGGGAAGAGCAGUAGAGAACUGAACUGUGUGUGUGUGUAUUGAUAGAGGCCCAAAAGGGCAACAUAUAUAGUACAAGAGGAGACCCCCAAACCCUAGAUACUAGGAUAUUACCAUUAUACCCUUAACACCCCCUCUCAAAUGCAACGUGAAUGCAAUGACGUUGCAUUUGGAGAGUUGAUACUAAGCACUAGACUAACAAAAAAGAAGAUACAUCCAAAGUCCCAAAUCAAAGAUGUCAUCAAAGCGUGCAACUCUUGACAUGUCGAUGUAGAUGAUCUCCUCCACAAGAGGGUAUUGCCUUCACAACCGUACUUCAGCAAAUAACCCGAGUCUUCACAAACCACCAAAGAGAGGAAUGAGAGAUCACUGCUGCAAGAUGGCAAGCAGGGAGAUGACAAGGUGAUGACGACAAAUAGACAGCCAUUGAUCAAGAUGUGGAGCAAAACGGCUCCGAAAGGGACCAAGAGGGCAAAGGUCGCAUCAACAACGAUGAUGUAAUUAGCUAAAUCGACGGGACUUAGCUAACCGAAAUAAAAAUAAGAUAUGAGCUGAAUGCUGAUUUGACAAGGAAAUGGUAGACACGCACGGCAUUGACGAACUGGAGAUGUGUAAUUGGACUUGGAUUGAUAGUGACUGGGAUGCUAGCAGAAGCAUGCAGCUAGGAUAUGAAAUGGCAAAAUAAUUUAAGCAGCAAGCAAAGCUACUAGCAGAUGAUAUGGAACGGAUGGGAAAAAAAUGACACAAUAUAGUAGAUACUAGCAGGCAGCAGCAAGCAACGAGCAAAAUAGAGCAACAAUGGACUGAUGAUGGAUGCAAACAGCAACGUGGACAGAGCAGCAGCUGAUGGAUAGCAGAGCAGCACAAAAGGCAGUAACAAUAUGAAGUAGAACUGCAGCAUGAAUGAUAAUCCCGCAGAACAGAGCAGCAGCACAGAACAGAGGACUGAGGCACUUGGCAAAACAGAGCACCCACAAAACAGAGCACUUGGCCGCGCGGGCGCUGUGAUGGGCAGACGGAGGGACGGGCAGACGGCGGCAGCGACGGGCCGCGCCGUCUGUGAGGACGAGCCGUCCGGGCGGUGAGGAAGGGAGCCGCGACGGGGCCUGCGGGUGGAGGCGGCAUGAAUCGGCCGGAUCCGCGACGGCCGGAUGACGGUGACGGGCGGAGCGGACGGCAGCCGCGCGACAGGCGCGGCGGACGGGCUCCGCACGAUGGGCGUGGAUGAGGGCCCGCAGCGACGGGCGGACGGUCACGCUGAUGGAGGACCGCGGCCACGCAAGGACCAGCCGAUGGGGACGGGCGGUGAAGAGGAGGACGAGCCGGUGGCGACGGACGCGGACGGGCUGUGGCGGGCCGCUCCCGCCGCAGAUCUGGCGCGAUCGAGGAUGAGGACGGCCGCGAUGGGCGGCGGGGCGGCCGGGUCCGCGACGGCGGACGCGAUGGCGGGCAGAGGAGAGCCGCAACGGCGAGCAGACAGGCGGUGGCGCACGACAGCGCGCGACGACGGCGGAGGACGACCUCAACGGGCGGAUCUGCGCGAAGAUGAAGGCGACGACGGGUACGCUGCUCUCUGCUGCUGCUGGGACUCAACUGGGAAGGAAAAUGGGUUUGGGGCUUGAUGGAGAUGCUGCCCCCAGGAGCAAGAUCGAUGCUCCCAGGGGCAGCGCAGCGUUGAAUCGAGGGUGGUGGGCUGGAUCUAGAACAACCGUAGCUCUGAUACCAUGUUACGAAUGGAAGAGGGAAGAGCAGUAGAGAACUGAACUGUGUGUGUAUUGAUAGAGGCCCAAAAGGGCAACAUAUAUGGUACAAGAGGAGACCCCCAAACCCUAGAUACUAGGAUAUUACCAUUAUACCCUUAACACUUUUCAUGUCCUUAAGUUUACAGAUAAUUGCCAUGCGCAACUGUGUUUGAUAUUUUGUCUGUGCAGUUACUGUCCUGCUAAAUCCUUUUCCAAAUAA